RNAcentral lists this ribosomal RNA (484 nucleotides) under uncultured bacterium. RNAcentral describes it as "partial 16S ribosomal RNA". It matches the Rfam family "Bacterial small subunit ribosomal RNA", at positions 30 to 507 of the family's 1533-position model. The record is from RNAcentral.
AUUGAACGCUGGCGGCAGGCCUAACACAUGCAAGUCGAGCGGAUGAAGGGAGCUUGCUCCUGUAUUCAGCGGCGGACGGGUGAGUAAUGACUAGGAAGCUGCCUGGUAGUGGGGGAUAACGUCCGUACACGGGCGCUAAUACCGCAUACGUCCUGAGGGAGAAAGUGAGGGAUCUUCGGACCUCACGCUAUCAGAUGAGCCUAGGUCGGAUUAGCUAGUUGGUGGGGUAAAGGCCUACCAAGGCGACGAUCCGUAACUGGUCUGAGAGGAUGAUCAGUCACACUGGAACUGAGACACGGUCCAGACUCCUACGGGAGGCAGCAGUGGGGAAUCUUGCACAAUGGGCGAAAGCCUGAUGCAGCCAUGCCGCGUGAGUGAAGAAGGUCUUCGGAUUGUAAAGCACUUUAAGUUGGGAGGAAGGGCAGUAAGUUAAUAUCUUGCUGUCUUGACGGUACCAACAGAAUAAGCACCGGCUAACUUCGUG